UGGGGAAUAUUGCACAAUGGGCGCAAGCCUGAUGCAGCCAUGCCGCGUGUAUGAAGAAGGCCUUCGGGUUGUAAAGUACUUUCAGCGGGGAGGAAGGGAGUAAAGUUAAUACCUUUGCUCAUUGACGUUACCCGCAGAAGAAGCACCGGCUAACUCCGUGCCAGCAGCCGCGGUAAUACGGAGGGUGCAAGCGUUAAUCGGAAUUACUGGGCGUAAAGCGCACGCAGGCGGUUUGUUAAGUCAGAUGUGAAAUCCCCGUGCUCAACCUGGGAACUGCAUCUGAUACUGGCAAGCUUGAGUCUCGUAGAGGGGGAUAGAAUUCCAGGUGUAGCGGUGAAAUGCGUAGAGAUCUGGAGGAAUACCGGUGGCGAAGGCGGCCCCCUGGACGAAGACUGACGCUCAGGUGCGAAAGCGUGGGGAGCAAACAGG
This 429-nucleotide ribosomal RNA is filed under the name Chloroflexota bacterium. RNAcentral's name for it is "Chloroflexi bacterium partial 16S ribosomal RNA". It matches the Rfam family "Bacterial small subunit ribosomal RNA", at positions 355 to 776 of the family's 1533-position model. The record is from RNAcentral. Lineage: Bacteria; Bacillati; Chloroflexota.